GUGCUCGCUUUGGCAGCACAAGUACUAAAAUUGGAAUGAUACAGGGAAGAUUAGCACAGCUCCUGUGCAAGGAUGACAUGCAAAGUCGUGAAGCUGUUCAUAUUUUU
Molecule: small nuclear RNA, 107 nt
Organism: Heterocephalus glaber (naked mole-rat)
Lineage: Eukaryota; Metazoa; Chordata; Mammalia; Rodentia; Bathyergidae
Source: Ensembl